UUUACAAAAACAGCUUCAUGGGUCUCAGUGGAGGUCAUUACAAUGGGGAUGAGCGGCGUCCCCUUAUGGUUUGAAAAGCAUACAUUAACAUAGGAGCAGAAGAAAGUGGGGACAAGAAGUAUGAGUGUGUAGAGAACAAGCCAAGGAGUACGACGGCUUUAAUUGGAGCCCUGAGAGCUUCGGGGAAAGGAACAAAAGUGCGUGGUUGGUUGAUGGAGAAAUCUAAAAGGUUUUCUGAGAAAGAGACACAUGAAUACAUGACUUCUCCGGCUUUUUAAAAAUAUGUUCAACCGCAAGCGCUUGGAGCGCCAGGACAAAAAAAGUGUUCCGAAAAAAAGACGCUGGUUGCAGAGCUUCUAUUUGAGUGUGCAUCAUACUCCUCAUUAGAAACAAAUGGAAAAAAAGGCUAUGGCACUCUGUGGACACAGGCCCUAAUGCAUGCAACUCUGCACACAUGUGUUCCAGGCCUGCUUCUCCAUGAAAAAGGCUGUUGGGCUGUUUGGAUGGCCGACAUGACAUCACACCUCAACAAAAUAAUACUGUAAAUGUCAAACUUAAUAAAUCAUUGUACUGUAAUGCAGUCUUGCUAGUUGAUAAUGUAGCAGAAAACUCUGAAUAUUUAUUCGAAACAACUCUUAAAAAAAAGAGUUUACAAUCAAGUUGUAAAACAUUUGCAUUAAGAAUGCAUUGCACAAUGUUUUCCCUAACUCAGAUCACAGCGUAUUCAUGUCUGGUUAUAUUUAGGAAAACAUGGCGCACGUGCAGGUUUGCUGCUGUUUUGCGUUAAUUUUGUCUUCUCUCAACCGAUCAUCUCUAUGUUGAAGACCAUGGGGUGCGGUCAAAAGCACAGGUGCUACAAAAGAAUCUAGAAGUACAUAAAGUCCAAAAUGUCCCAAAAUACUGGAAAUAUGCAAAUAAAUUGGUUUGACAUAUUUCAUGUGAAAGGACUGACAGUAAGUACAAUAUCACGUCAAUUCCUUUUCCAACGUGGAAUCGACCAUCUUUUAAAUAUCAUACAGACAAUGGAAAAUGCACAGUUUAAAAAUGUGAAAAAUGAUUACAAGCACAACGUUCUCUUUAUAUUCCCAUGAAGUAAUUUCACUAAAGAAACUUGCAACAGUACAGUGAAGCAGCUUUGUCAAUGAAUGCAAGCUCUCUGCUUAUUGCGAUGGCAUUUGAUAUUCAGAAUAGAUCUCUAAAACAGCACCAAUAUUUAGUCUUAUUAAUAGUUAAUCUGAUAUAAUAAAACACAAUUGCAAAUAAAUAAAUACACUCUUUCCAAAGUCUAUUGCCCUGGGAUUCUUUCGUAAAUUUCGAGUUUUGACAAAGAACUGUAAAGGUCAUGUAAGAAAGUUAAAACACCUCUAGGCAUGAGUUGGAGAGUGAGCCAUUCUGCUAAGGAGACUCUGACGGUUGUUUUCCACCGAGUGUGAUUGAUUCAUAGCUUUUUAAUGCAUACAUUCAACACAUCAUGUUUGCAUGAAGCAUGUUCAGAAGCUGUAUAUCUAGCCUGCAGACUAAAGAGGGGCCUUAGUGACAAAGAGAUGAAUUAUAGGUAAACGAGGGGAACUGGUUGCCAGGGGACUUGUAUCACAACACUUCACAUAUGUGAUUAAAUCUCCAGGCAGUUGCAAUUUCAGGCAAAAAUGUCCAAGUCAGAGUGGAGUGGGCAGCAGCCACUGAAGGAGAAGUUCAUUUUACAACAAAAACAUCUAAUGUACAAGUGGCAAAAAUGAAAGAACGCAAUGAAUAUUUCAUCUUUCUUGGAUCAUUGUUAAUCAUAAUGCCCAGAGCAAUGAGAAGGGGAUUUGAAUGAAAUAGAUAUAUAUUUUAUGGCUCAGUAAGAUUGAGAAAAUGAUAUCUAAUGCCAUUAAUGCCAAGUUAGUUCAGUGUGAUGGUGCUCCCCUCCCGCCAUCAUCUUUAUUUAAAAUCUUCAGUGAACACAGAUAGCUUACAGAAAUAUGAUUCAAUAAUACCAAAUAGAUAUGGGGCUCUUUAAUCUUUUUAUUGGCAAGAUCGAUUAUUGUGGACACAUAGAAGAAUAUAGCUUUCUAUUCAAAUGCACAUUUUGUGUUUAGCAGAUAUGGUUUCUGUUCCCUUCCAUAAAAAAGUCAUGCAAACAACUUGUAACUUGUGAUAAAAUGAGUCAGGCAUGAUCUCAGUCAAAAAACAAACAUUGAGCAGGUAAUCCUAUUUGCACUGCCUGUAUCCAAACAUAAAACCAACAAAGGAAGAACUUACCUGCACAGAAUCCACCCACAACACUUUUAUUUAUUUAUUGUGAGCAACGGACAAUUUAAUUUCCACUAAAGUUAGUUUUUUCCUUCUUAAUUCUUUACACGGAAAAGCAAUCAAGUAGCAACAGCCUUUUCCCAGCUUCUAUGUUUAUGCUCAGGCAGUCUAAAGUGGAAUUCUUUAUGUGUCAGUUGCAAUUAAAAAAUAUCCAUCCAUCCAUCUUCUCCCGCUUAUCCGUGGUCGGGUCGCGGGGGUAGCAGUUCCAUAUUAAAACAUAUAUAAUCUGCUAAAUAUUUGAAGUGUUAGGCUGCAAUAGGAUUACAAUUUCUGAUUUUGCAAUUAGGAUAACAUUUUGUGAUUUUGAGUGGCUGAGCUUUUGCUGUGCAAAGUGAUGAACAAAAUACUUUUACUGACUUUAAAUGAUAUGAUGUCUCUGAAUGCUUCCAUCAGUAAUCUGUAGGUAUCUGCAUUUAUGAAUGACUUUUAGGGAAU
Long non-coding RNA from Gymnodraco acuticeps, 2727 nucleotides. RefSeq lists it as uncharacterized. The record is from RefSeq and is a predicted model, not a curated record. The transcript is spliced from 3 exons. Lineage: Eukaryota; Metazoa; Chordata; Actinopteri; Perciformes; Bathydraconidae.